ACACCUCAACUCCUCAUGGUUUGCCGUGAUGAGCUUGGACUUUGGAGGUCUUGCUGGCCUGUGGUUGGCUCCUCUCAAACAAAUCAGCUUGCCAGUGUUUGGUGGCAUCGCAGGUGUGAUAAAUAUCUAUGCUUGUGGUUUCUGCCAGAUAACCUUUCAGUGAUGGAGGUUUCGCUGGAGCUCACAAACGUCUCUCCUCAGUGAGGACAGUGCUCUGAAU
RNAcentral lists this unclassified non-coding RNA (220 nucleotides) under uncultured Tomentella. RNAcentral describes it as "sequence contains ITS2". The record is from RNAcentral. Lineage: Eukaryota; Fungi; Basidiomycota; Agaricomycetes; Thelephorales; Thelephoraceae.